GACGAACGCUGGCGGCGUGCUUAACACAUGCAAGUCGAACGGUGAAGCGCCUUCCUUUUUGGCGGGUGUGGAUGAGUGGCGAACGGGUGAGUAACACGUGAGUAACCUGCCUCCUUCUUCUGGAUAACCGCAUGAAAGUGUGUCUAAUACGGGAUAUUCUGCGUCUGUCGCAUGCUGGGUCUGGGAAGGAUAUUGUUUCGGUGGGGGCUGGGCUGGCGGCCUAUCAGCUGGUUGGUGGGGUGAUGGCCUAGCAAGGCGGUGACGGGUAGCCGGCCUGAGAGGGUGGACGGGCAAACUGGGACUGAGACACGGCCCAGACUGCUAAGGGAGGCAGCAGUGGGGAAUAUUGCACAAUGGGCGCAAGCCUGAUGCAGCGACGCCGCGUGAGGGAUGGAGGCCUUCGGGUUGUGAACCUCUUUCGCCAGUGAAGCAGGCCUGCCUCGUUUGUGGGUGGGUUGACGGUAGCUGGAUAAGAAGCGCCGGCUAACUACGUG
This 494-nucleotide ribosomal RNA is filed under the name uncultured bacterium. RNAcentral describes it as "partial 16S ribosomal RNA". It matches the Rfam family "Bacterial small subunit ribosomal RNA", at positions 28 to 507 of the family's 1533-position model. The record is from RNAcentral.